This is a long non-coding RNA of Osmerus eperlanus (European smelt), 947 nucleotides long. RefSeq lists it as uncharacterized. The transcript is spliced from 3 exons. The record is from RefSeq and is a predicted model, not a curated record. NCBI's taxonomy places the organism in Eukaryota, Metazoa, Chordata, Actinopteri, Osmeriformes, Osmeridae.
AAAACGGCACCAUUCAAAUUGGCAGACAAAGCGACACCAAUGCGGGUAUGGAUGGAUAUAAUUAGACAUAAUCCUUUGUACCUUUAUCUAACCUCCAACAACAAGUAGGCUAUCUUACCAAAUCUUAAAACGUGUGGCAUCCCGCGAGAGUAUCCAAGAAACAACAGCAGAAGCGGGAGCAGCCUGAGGUUGAACCUGAAAACGAGACUAGUUACCAGCGGGGAGGUAAUCUUCAUGUUGUUUGUAAAAUGCACAGUGGUGAUCCCCCGUACGCUUUGAUUCCCCCGGAAUUCUUUGAUACGGUCGUUCGGCAGGGUGACUGUAGCCAAGCGCAAGAUCACGGCAUGGUCACUCGCGCUUCUAAAUCCAUUAGCAGUCCCGGCAUGAUUUCCUUCUUCACUGCGCCAAGAAACAAUCAUCCAGUUCAAGGGAAGACGAGGCAUCCAUAAAGAGAGGUAACAAAUCCGGCGGGGGGGCCCAUGGCUCGGAUGACUGAGGUGAGACACCGGGGGAUAUCCACACUUGAGGGUCGGGGAAGAGAGCGCCAGGCAGAGUGAAAUCGCGAUAGCAGCCUAUGAGGCACUUUGGGUUGCCUACGCUCCCAUUAUACUGCACUGCUGCACAGCGUCUGACGUCGAGCCAAGCCAGUGAGGCCGGUAGAGGAGACACAGCGAUGACAGAGAAAAGGAAACCAUGGAAACCAAAGCCUGAUGCAUUUUGUAUGACACAUUACAGGUUAUGCUCCGGAAGAUGGAGACAUUGGAGGAGAACCAGCGAGAGGCUCUCCUAUUCAGGCGACGACAGGGCAGACACACUGAAGAGGUGCCAGUGAUGGACCUACAGGUGGCCCAAACACAGGCUGAACUCCAAGACCUUGAGGAGACAGGACAUGUAGCGGGGACUGGCAGAAGAUUUUAAUUCACUGUUUGGCACUUUGUUUGAAAUAA